Molecule: ribosomal RNA, 492 nt
Filed under: uncultured bacterium
Lineage: Bacteria
Description: partial 16S ribosomal RNA
Rfam family: Bacterial small subunit ribosomal RNA
Source: RNAcentral
AGUGAACGCUGGCGGUAGGCCUAACACAUGCACGUCGAACGGCAGCACAGUAAGUGCUUUCUCUUACGGGUGGCGAGUCGCGGACGGGUGACGAAUACAUUGGACUCUACUUUUUGGUGGGGGCUAACGUAGGUAAACUUACGCUAAUACAGCAUAAGACCUACGGGUGCAUGCAGGGGAUCUUCUGACCUUUCGCGUUAGCAUGAGGCGAGGCCGGUUUAGCUAGGUGGCGGGGCCAAGGCCCACCAAGGCGACGAUCCGUAGCUGGUCUGAGAGGAUGAUCAGCCACACUGGAACUGAGACACGGUCCAGACUCCUACGGGAGGCAGCAGUGGGGAAUAUUGGACAAUGGGCGCAAGCCUGAUCCAGCCAUACCGCGUGGGUGAAGAAGGCCUUCGGGUUGUAAAGCCCCUUUGUUGGGAAAGAAAAGCAGCAGGUUAAUACCCCGCUGUUCUGACGGUACCCAAAGAAUAAGCACCGGCUAACUUCGUG